AGGAUGAACGCUGGCGGUCUGCUUAACACAUGCAAGUCGAACGGAGUACCUCGGUACUUAGUGGCGGACGGGUGAGUAACGCGUGAGAAUCUGCCCUUAGGUCGGGGACAACCAUUGGAAACGAUGGCUAAUACCGGAUAAGCCGAGAGGUAAAAGAUUAAUUGCCUAGGGAAGAGCUCGCGUCUGAUUAGCUAGUUGGUGAGGUAAAGGCUCACCAAGGCAUCGAUCAGUAGCUGGUCUGAGAGGAUGAUCAGCCACACUGGGACUGAGACACGGCCCAGACUCCUACGGGAGGCAGCAGUGGGGAAUUUUCCGCAAUGGGCGAAAGCCUGACGGAGCAAGACCGCGUGAGGGAGGAAGGCUCUUGGGUUGUAAACCUCUUUCUUGGGGAAGACAAAUGACGGUACCAAGGAAUCAGCAUCGGCUAACUCCGUGCCAGCAGCCGC
This 446-nucleotide ribosomal RNA is filed under the name uncultured bacterium. RNAcentral's name for it is "SSU rRNA". It matches the Rfam family "Bacterial small subunit ribosomal RNA", at positions 26 to 518 of the family's 1533-position model. The record is from RNAcentral.